This is an RNA transcript of Panicum hallii, 2275 nucleotides long. It is a transcript of the gene named pentatricopeptide repeat-containing protein At3g29230-like, with no coding region annotated. NCBI's taxonomy places the organism in Eukaryota, Viridiplantae, Streptophyta, Magnoliopsida, Poales, Poaceae. The record is from RefSeq and is a predicted model, not a curated record. The transcript is spliced from 3 exons.
UUUUGCAUUCAGCUGCCAUGCGCUGCGGCUUGCGCGUCCUCACCGAAUGAUCCACCGACCACCAGUGACCCGCGGGCUGUCCAUGUACGCUGCGGCCGAGCUGCACGCACGCGAGUACGGUCACGCCCGAGGCCCACCUGGCAUCGUAGUAGCAUCCGUGGCCCAGCUGCUGCAGGCGCUGGAAAUCGCCCAUGCACCCGCUCACGCUCUCCUCCACCGCGCUCCUCCGCCUCAUCAAGUCACUCUCGCCGGCGGCGGGGCCGAGGGCCCACCUCACGGCCUCGGCGAUCCACUGCCUCCUCUUCAAGGAAGGGCUCCUCCACGUCGGGGCGCACCUCCCAACGGCGCUGCUCUCCGCGUACGCCGCGCUCGGCAGGCCGCGGCACGCGCGGGAUCUGUUCGACGAAAUGCCCGAGCCGAGCCUCGUCGCUCGCACCGCCAUGGCGCGGGCGCACGCGGCGGCCGGGCAGGCGGCCCAAGCGCUCGCCGUGUUCGGGGACAUGCUCGCGGACGGCCUGCUCCCCGACAAUGUGGCCCUGGCGGUUGCGCUCGCGGCAUGCCACGGGGUGAGCUCGUCCUCCGCGGCGGCCCGGAAACCUGGGAAGAUGGUUCAUGCUCUCAUCGUGACAAGCGGCAUUGUGCCAGAUGUGUUCGUCUCCACCGAACUGAUCAGGGUCUACGGGGAGUGCGGCGAGCUGUCUGUUUCACGGUGGGUGUUCGAUGACAUGCCAGUGAGGAGUAUUGUUUCGUGGAACGCCAUGGUGCAUCAGUAUGUCAGGCAUAGUAAUGUUGGCGCUGCAUACGAGCUGUUUCUUGCAAUGCCAAGGAGGGAUGUGGUGUCAUGGAAUACAAUGAUUGCCGGGUAUUGCCUCAUUGGCCAAUGUAGGGAGGCACUAGAAUUGUUUCGUCAGAUGGUAUCGCCAUCUUCAUGUCCGGUGCAUCCAAAUGGACCUACAAUGAGCACUGUCCUUGCUGCUUGUGCCGGUGCAGGUUGUUUGGAGACUGGGAUUUGGGUCCAUGCCUACAUUGACAGGAACCGAAUGAAUGAUGACGGCUCAUUGGACCGGUCCUUGAUAGACAUGUAUGCCAAAUGUGGAAGCAUUGAAAAGGCCCUUCAGGUGUCUGAGAAAGCACCAGGGAAGAGGGACUUGUACUCAUGGACAACAGUGAUUUGUGGGUUGGCAAUGCAUGGUAGGGCUGCUGAUGCUUUACGCAUGUUUGACAUGAUGCAAGAUAAUGGUAUUCACCCUGACGAUGUUACUCUUGUUGGGGUACUAAAUGCAUGUGCGCAUGGCGGACUCAUAGAUAAAGGUCUUCACCACUUCUACUCCAUGGAGGAGAGAUAUGCAAUCGUACCCAAAAUUGAACACUACGGGUGUAUCAUUGAUCUUCUUGGUCGGGUUGGGAGAUUGCAAGAAGCAUACAGCAUGAUCAGGACCAUGCCGAUGAAGCCUAAUGCGGUAAUCUGGGGUGCAUUCUUGAAUGCAUGCAAAGUUCACAGCAACGUGGAACUUGGUGAGAUCGCAGCAGCUGAAGUCAGCAGGUUGGAUCCAAAUGAACCCUGGGCAAGGGUGAUGCUGUCCAGCAUGUAUGCAAAAGCUCAGGACUGGACCAGUCUAGCCAGGGAGAGGAAGGAGAUGAACAGCCUGCAGAUGAAGAAAACACCAGGGUGCAGCUCAAUUGAGCUUGAUGGGGAGGUGCAUGAGUUUGUCGCUGGUGGUUUUCAGCAUCCCCAGCUUGGUGAAAUUUGCACUAUACUAGAGAAUAUUGAAGCACAAACACAUGCAGGCUAAAGAGACGUGGAUGCCUCAUCUUCUGAGGUUUUUGGUUCUGCCAAUGAUGCUAGCAUGUCGUUGCAAGUUUCUUGGCCUCCACAAGUAGUUAACUGACCUCAGUGCUUUCCAUUAGUCUGUGAAUGUUUGAGGGAAGAAUUUUGAGCUUGGUGACUUGGUCGUAUUGCGAAGAAUUGAAGGAGGUUAAAAUCUUAGGGCCCAGAGUAAAUGAUUAGGUGCUGAAAAAAAUCUGUUUUGAUUGAUCGUACUGGAAGUUGAACUAGCAAUUGAAGCUAGUGGAGGCAUAGCACCGACUAGUGGACUGAAGGAUGCUGCUGGACAUUUAGCACAUCCUUUUCAACUGUGUUUAUGUACCAAAGUUAGGAUUUAAUUUUUGUAUCGCAUUUUGGGUUCAAACCAAAACUACUUUAUAGAUCUGACAUUUAUUUACCCUUAUUGAAUGGUGGUGUAUUUUCCUUAAUAAAAUUCGAUAGAUUUUGACA